This is a long non-coding RNA of Schistocerca piceifrons (Central American locust), 203 nucleotides long. RefSeq lists it as uncharacterized. The record is from RefSeq and is a predicted model, not a curated record. The transcript has 3 exons. NCBI's taxonomy places the organism in Eukaryota, Metazoa, Arthropoda, Insecta, Orthoptera, Acrididae.
GAGUGCUGAAGAGUACAGACAAACUGCCGACAAGGACGACGUCAGAGGCGAGUAGAAGCGCACAAAAGAUACACUCACCAUGCAGACUUCCGUGUUCUUCAUCGUUCUAUGUGCCAUAACUUUGAGUUACGCAUUCCCGACACCGCAAGAUGAUGCGUCACGAGGGAGUCUGGCAGUGGGCGUGCAGCGGGCGAAGGGCGGCG